AUUGAACGCUGGCGGCAGGCUUAACACAUGCAAGUCGAGCGGAAACGAUGGGAGCUUGCUCCCAGGCGUCGAGCGGCGGACGGGUGAGUAACGCGUAGGAAUCUACCCAGUAGAGGGGGAUAGCCCGGUGAAAACCGGAUUAAUACCGCAUACGCCCCACGGGGGAAAGGCCGGGAUCUUCGGACCGGUCACUAUUGGAUGAGCCUGCGUAAGAUUAGCUAGUUGGUAGGGUAAAGGCCUACCAAGGCGACGAUCUUUAGCUGGUCUGAGAGGAUGAUCAGCCACACUGGAACUGAGACACGGUCCAG
Molecule: ribosomal RNA, 308 nt
Filed under: uncultured bacterium
Lineage: Bacteria
Description: bacterial SSU rRNA
Rfam family: Bacterial small subunit ribosomal RNA
Source: RNAcentral